UGGGGAAUAUUGGACAAUGGGGGGAACCCUGAUCCAGCCAUGCCGCGUGUGUGAAGAAGGCCUUAUGGUUGUAAAGCACUUUAAGCGAGGAGGAGGGUACUGGUAUUAAUACUACCAGCUACUGGACGUUACUCGCAGAAUAAGCACCGGCUAACUCUGUGCCAGCAGCCGCGGUAAUACAGAGGGUGCGAGCGUUAAUCGGAUUUACUGGGCGUAAAGCGUGCGUAGGCGGCUAAUUGAGUCGGAUGUGAAAUCCCCGAGCUUAACUUGGGAAUUGCAUUCGGUACUGGUUAGCUAGAGUGUAGGAGAGGAUGGUAGAAAUCCAGGUGUAGCGGUGAAAUGCGUAGAGAUCUGGAGGAAUACCGAUGGCGAAGGCAGCCAUCUGGCCUAACACUGACGCUGAAGUACGAAAGCAUGGGGAGCAAACAGG
Molecule: ribosomal RNA, 430 nt
Filed under: Pseudomonadota bacterium
Lineage: Bacteria; Pseudomonadati; Pseudomonadota
Description: Proteobacteria bacterium partial 16S ribosomal RNA
Rfam family: Bacterial small subunit ribosomal RNA
Source: RNAcentral